Long non-coding RNA from Carassius auratus (goldfish), 2854 nucleotides. RefSeq lists it as uncharacterized. NCBI's taxonomy places the organism in Eukaryota, Metazoa, Chordata, Actinopteri, Cypriniformes, Cyprinidae. The record is from RefSeq and is a predicted model, not a curated record. The transcript is spliced from 6 exons.
GUGGAUUAUGGGCUCAUCUCUGCUUUCUGUUGCUGAGCAGCUUUUGAAAGACCUUCAGAGAACUUUCUUGGAGACAAACCAGAGCAAGACUUAAAGCAACACUGUGUAACUUUUGGCGCUCUAGCGGUUCAACGGAACUGGACGCAUCUCGCGGAAGAACAUUCUGACCUGAGCUACUUCUGUCUAUUUUGAUCAAUAGUGAUUCACGCAGUACCAGCUGACCUACUAAUAGCAUUAUGGUUUGUUUUUGGCCAAUGUGCUCUUCAGGUGUUGGACCCGGUGGACCAGCACUCUGUCACGUGUGUCAUCACCUAGCGGUCGAAAGACAUUUCAGUGGGAAUUUGUGGGAAACUUGGAUGCUUUUAAUUCAGUGAGAGCAAACUGAACCUGAGUGGAUCAGAAGCUGUUGUUGUGGUGCCCUCCAAUCCUCCUUUUAACAUGGCCACUUUUGGAGCAUUUCUCAAAACUGAGGUGUUAAGUGGAUCCGGGCGUCUGUACACGUGCUUCACGUCCUGUCACUACUGCCCACACCCUGCCUUCUCGUUCUCUGUGCUCCAGAGAAACGAAAGUCUGAUGGUGAGGUCACUUCCUCUUUCUGUUUCCAUACACACUCACACACAGCUGCACUCACAGAUCCUGAGACCCUGAGACCCUCAUCCUGUUUCUUGGUUUGUAGAAUUAUUUCUGUCAUUAUGCGUUUACACACUGUGGGUCGAAGGUUAGGAAUAAUUCAGUUUUUUCAUGUUCUUGUGCUCUGCAAAGCUGCAUUUAUUUGAUACAGUAAUAUUGUUAAAUAUUAGUACAGUUUAACAUGACUAUUCCACUUUGUAUUGACAUCAAUACGUUUCACUUCAACGUUUGCACAAAUUGAUGCUAAAUAGUUGACAGUAUUACCAAUUAGUUUACCACAUUAUUUUUUUAUAUGCAAACUUGACUAAUUCAUUAUUGAAAACCGUUUUAGUUGCAACACCACUUUUUUUUUGCCUGCUUUUGUUUUAAAUCUCUUGUUUAGCGCUCUUCUUCAUCUGCCGCUUGCUGUGGUUAUUUCUAGCGAUUUUAUUUGUUUUCGGGUCUCAAUUGACUGUCUGUCUUUUGAUGCUGUGGCCCUGUUUCAACAGUGUCUGUAGCAUGUGCAUCAGCCUGGUUUUGAGCCCAGGGGAGCAAAUGAGCCUAAAAUUAGUCCUUAAGUCUGAGAAAGAAAAUCCAGAGACUACCCCAAAAAGCACUGCUUCACUCUGAUAGCAUGACCUCACUUUAUUAUCGAGCUGCAACGAAAUAUAAAUGCGUUUUAUGCCCAUGUGAUCUGAGAGGAAUGGUUUCCUUGUUUAUUUAUAGUCCUCUGUGUAAUGCAUUAGCGUUUGCUUGAUGCGCUAGAAAAUGUCUCAAAUGUGAUUAAGCUGCCUGCUCUCAGCGGCCGUCUCCUCCAGAGAUAAAACACGAGAACAUGACGUGAGAUUCUCAUCGGUUGGUGGUCUCUGUAUCGAGGGUCUGGGGUCCAGUCAACCUGUAGUAGACCAAUAAUUAAUGGAGAAUGUGAAUUAUAAAGCAAAUACAGUCUGUUCUUCAUAGGCUGUUUCAUUGUCAGUCUUCUUGUUUUGUGUGACACUAAUAUUCUCCUUCAUUGUAAUCCUGUUGAUAUUUCCGUUACAUGGUGAAUGCAUGCUGAUGCAUUUUUCAUGUGUGCAGUCACCAUAAAUUGAAAACAGAUGGCUGCAUUGUGCAGUUUUAUCAUAACACAAUAAAUGAUAGUGAGACACAUCUGAUCUUGAGUCUAUACUGUUUGGCUGUCUGUCUGAGUCAGGCAGCAGGUCUCAGAUCAGCAGAUGACUGUUAUUCUCUCAGGGCACAUAAAUAACUGAUCCGGGAGAAGAGAACACUCAUGCAGGAAUUCAGAUAUUUGGAGUCAUUAUGGAUUAGAAUGGACUCUUCUCUUCGGAGUUGUUGUUGCACUUUAAUGAUUUGGGGUUUUUUAAAAUGAGGGAUGAUGUGUCAUAGCAUGUUAAAAAUUGCUUUUAAAAUAACUAAACCAGCAAAGCUUGACCCUCAGUAUGAUGUUUGUGUAUGUUUGUAUAUAUGGUUACAAACUAUUUUAUCAGUUGCCAGAUAAUGUACAUCUGUUCACUGAGCAUGAUGGCGUUUUCUUUUGGAGUUUCAGUUUGUUUGAAGGUUCAGCACCCUAGACUGACUCUCAUCAACAAUCGUGAAACCACAUGAGUGAAAUAUUGUGCUUUUGGAUUUUGUGUUCAUAAAAUAGUUUAGUGUACUAUUUAUUAAACAUUCAAGUAGCUAGAUUUGAUCAUGCUUUCUAAAAAGAAAAGUGAACUUUAUACACACUAAAAGAGGACUGUUGUUUUUAUGCAAGCAGUGAGGUACGAGAAGCCGUGCUGUGCUGUGCUGCUUCACGUCACGUCGUGCCUAACAACUCCCUUCAGCUGUGAUUCACAAUACAGCAACUCUUCUAGCUUAUUGCUUAAAAAAAACGCCAACCACACCAAAAAAAAAAAUGUUAAAACCAAAAAUGUAUGAAUUGAUAUAUUACUUUUUGAAGUAAAUUAGUUUUAAUGUUAAAACUGUUCUUCCUCUUAAAAUAGUUCUUGACAGCAACAGUAACAUGCCUCAUCUUAUGGAGCACAAAUAAAAACUGGAACGUUUUUUAAAAACGUAUAUUUUCUCACACCCAUACACGUGGGCCAGAGUUGUUAAAAACACUCCUAAUGAGUAAUUACUUCUAGACAGACCAGGAGAACAUGGGCAACACAUGAUAUUUUGUUUUUGCACAUACCUGUAAAUUGCACAUUUAUAUAUAUAAAAAAACGUAUAUAAUUUUUUCUGUUAUUUUAUCAUUAGUUUUUCA